UAAAGAUUUUAAGGGCGUACGGUGGAUGCCUUGGCGAUAUCAGCCGAAGAAGGACGCGGUAAGCUGCGAUAAGCUACGGAGAGGUGCAAGCAACCUUUGACCCGUAGAUUUCCGAAUGGGGGAACCCGGCAGUGGUUAUGCACUGUCACCCAUAGCUUAGACUAUGAGGAGGGCACCUGGGGAACUGAAACAUCUAAUUACCCAGAGGAAAAGUAAUCAAACGAGAUUUUCUUAGUAGCGGCGAGCGAACGGGAAAGAGGCCAAACCGGAGCGGGCAACCGCACCGGGGUUGAGGACAGUCAUCAAGUGUAAAUGAGGUAGAAGAAUCGAGCUGGAAAGCUCAGCCGCAGAAGGUGAAAGCCCUGUAAUCGAAACCUUGCAUACAUGGGACUGUAUCCAGAGUACCACGAGACACGUGAAACCUUGUGGGAAGCAGGGGGGACCACCCUCCAAGCCAAAAUACUGAUAUCGACCGAUAGCGCAUAGUACCGUGAGGGAAAGGUGAAAAGAACCCCUGGCGGGGAGUGAAAGAGAACCUGAAACCGUAUGUCUACAAACAGUCGAAGUCUGUAUAUAUAUCAGGACGACGGCGUGCCUAUUGAAGAAUGAACCGACGAGUUACUGUUGCUAGCGAGGUUAAGUGGAAAACAUGGAGCCGCAGCGAAAGCGAGUCUGAACAGGGCGUUCAGUUAGUAAUAGUAGACCCGAAACCGUAGUGAUCUAUCCAUGGCCAGGUUGAAGCACAGGUAAAAUUGUGUGGAGGACCGAACUCGUGAGCGUUGAAAAGCUUUGGGAUGAGUUGUGGAUAGGGGUGAAAUGCCAAUCGAACACGGAGAUAGCUGGUUCUCCCCGAAAUAGCUUUAGGGCUAGCCUCGAGGUUGAGAGUAUAGGCGGUAGAGCACUGAUCGGGCUAGGGGCCAUACCGGUUACCGAACCUAGUCAAACUACGAAUGGCUAUACUUAUACUCGGGAGUCAGACAGUGAAUGAUAAGGUCCAUUGUCAAGAGGGAAACAGCCCAGAACACCGACUAAGGUCCCCAAUGUUACACUAAGUGGCGAAGGAUGUGGAAUUUCCAAAACAACCAGGAUGUUGGCUUAGAAGCAGCCACCAUUUAAAGAGUGCGUAAUAGCUCACUGGUCGAGAGACUCUGCGCCGAAGAUGUCCGGGGCUAAAGUGUAAAACCGAAGUCGUGUCAUAUGCAGCAAUGUAUAUGGGUAGGGGAGCGUUCUCAUCGGGCUGAAGCAGUACCGUAAGGAGUUGUGGACUGAUGAGAAGUGAGAAUGUCGGUAUGAGUAGCGAAAAGAAUGGUGAGAAUCCAUUCCACCGAAAGCCUAAGGGUUCCUGAGCAACGAUCGUCGUCUCAGGGUAAGUCGGGACCUAAGCCGAGGCGGAAAAGCGUAGGCGAUGGACAACAGGUUGAAAUUCCUGUACCGGUGUGAAUCGUUUGAUCGAUGGAGUGACACAGUAAGGUAGGUCAGCACGCGAUUGGAAGUGCGUGUUUAAGCAGGUAGGUUGAGCUAUAGGCAAAUCCGUAGCUCUAAAAGCUGAGAUGUGAUGACGAGUUACUAGCGAUAGUAACGAAGUGAUUGAUCCUACACUGUCGAGAAAAGCUUCUAGGUAGAGACACAUCGCCCGUACCAAAACCGACACAGGUAGGCGGGGAGAGAAUCCUAAGGUGCGCGGGAAAACCCUCGUUAAGGAACUCGGCAAAAUGCCUCCGUAACUUCGGGAAAAGGAGGACUCAUGUAGUGUGAAGAGCAGCAACGCUUGGAGCAUGAAUGAGUGGCACAAGAGAGGCCCAAGCGACUGUUUACCAUAAACACAGGUGCCUGCUAAAGCGAAAGCUGAUGUAUAGGUGCUGACACCUGCCCGGUGCUGGAAGGUUAAGAGGAGGGGUUAGACUUCGGUCGAAGCUCUGAAUUGAAGCCCCAGUAAACGGCGGCCGUAACUAUAACGGUCCUAAGGUAGCGAAAUUCCUUGUCGGGUAAGUUCCG
RNAcentral lists this ribosomal RNA (1995 nucleotides) under human gut metagenome. Its description in RNAcentral is "bacterial LSU rRNA". It matches the Rfam family "Bacterial large subunit ribosomal RNA", at positions 1 to 1985 of the family's 2925-position model. The record is from RNAcentral.